Non-coding RNA from Cyanistes caeruleus (blue tit), 2167 nucleotides. NCBI's taxonomy places the organism in Eukaryota, Metazoa, Chordata, Aves, Passeriformes, Paridae. The record is from RefSeq and is a predicted model, not a curated record.
CCGCGCUCCCGGGCCGCUGCCCCGCGGAGCCGCAGCCCUCCCGCUGCUGCCCGGGACCAGUAUAAACGCGCAGGUGCUGCCUGGGCGGUGUGAAAUGAGUGCGAGGUACGAGGGCAGCUGAAGAGCCAGGCGGCAGCGAGGGAGGGAAGACACAGCGGGCUGUCUCCGGAGAGGCAGCGGGCAGGGAUGGAGGGACACCCGGAGCUCAUGAGAGGCGACAGUAGCAGAGGGCAGAGACACGCGGCGGCUGUCGGUACGUGCAGGCUGAACAAAGUUACUUACGGCGGUGUAGUCCGGGCAGUGUGACCAGGGAAAAGAGCCGACUGGAGAACCUGAUUCCACUUUCUGAUUUUUUUGGUUUUUUUUUUAAAUUUUGCUCCUAAUUAAACAAAAUGUUUAAUUAGGUUUCUAAUUUUUUUUUUAAGUAAAAUCAAACUAACCCCCAAAACGUUCUGAAUGUCAGGGAACCCCUGCCUGUAGCUGUUACACAGCAAAGGGCAUCAGUUGGUGUAGACAUUCAAAAGAGACUGUGAAGCCUCAGGGCACCUCAGCCUCUCAGGCUGUCAGCUUUGAUGUAAAUCUGACAACGGGCUUCUCUUAAGUUCGGGACCUCCCACCAUUUCCGUACAGCAAGGUUGGGCCACACUCAUUACUAAUGAGCCAGUGGGAAAAAAAAAAAAAAGCACCCUGAUCGUAUUCAAGAUGCUUCAUUGAAAUGCUUCGGGAAACACAGGCAUUUCCCAACAUAGCUAUUUCCUUGGGAAUAUUCCAAACAGAUGAAGUCAAAGUGAUAACUCACUUGUAUGUCUAUGAACACUGCCCUACUAACUUUGCCUCUAGCGAUUUCCUCUUUGUUUAAAGCACAGUAAGCAUAGCUUGUGUGGUGUGCUUGUAGCACAUGGAGACAUCUAGCGCCUAAAUAAUAGACUGCAAAUCUGCUUCAUUAAUCUGAAAUCUGGGAGAUCACAGUCGGAUCCACGGCUUGCAGUAUUUCUCCCCAGGACUGCAGGGUGCAGAGCACUUUUGCUACAAACCAUCGCUGCCCGUGGGCAGGGACUGCGAUGGAAUGAGCAGCUGCACUAGCUCAGGAGAGGACUGUGACUGCAGCUCUGCUGCACAGAUUGAGCUUCAGGCCUGAGAUUUACAGCAAUGAUUCAAGACAGAGCUUAGCCCCAAAAGGAGUUGAGACAGUUCCUAACUUGCCUUUGUCACUAAACCACAGAGAGGAAAGCCCUUAGGUGUACAAAUAAGAUGAUUUCAUCUUGGCUUUGCUGGUGUAUCUGUACUUCUUUCUUUGUUAGCCCAGGAGCAAGAUUGUUCUAACACGUGCAAUUGUAAAACUUUGCCUCUUUUCAACAAACACAUGCAAACUGAAUACUCACAUUUGCCAAUUACUGAAAUUAAUUUGAAGGUAAGCACUGCUUAUCUACCAGAAAGAUAUUAGUCCAGGAACAGAUAGUAUUUAUUUUUUUAUACACUUGUCUAAAGAAAGAAGAAAUACAGACUGCUGAUCAACAUCCUCAGCCAGAAGCUGAAAAAAAGCUCAUUUCAGUGAUACCCAAAUGCAGAUUUUUUUGCCAGUACUAUUGCAUGGGGACAUAAAGUAUAACAUUUCUACACACUUAAAUGGUUUGAAACUAAAUAUAUUGCAUUAGGUAUGUGUGUGUGUAGGAGUGUACACUUGUGUAUGUUUUAGACAAUCCACAUAAUACAUUCUUUUCAGUCUCAGGCAGUUCACAAACACCUUUGAGCUGUAAAAGCACUAGAUCAUAGGAUCACAGGAAAAUUAAAGCUGGAAAAGACCUUUAGGAUCAUUAAGUCCAACUGCCAACUUAGUACUACAACAACAUUCACCAUUAAACCAUGUCCUCAAGCACCAUAUCCACUGCCUUUUGAACACUUCCAGGGAGAGAGACUCCAUUUUGUGAAAAAAGAAAAUAAAAAAAAUUAAUCUGAACCUCCUCUGGUGGAACUUGAGGCCAUUUCCUCUUAUCCUGCCACUUCUUACCCAGAAGAAAAAACUGACACCCACCUCACCAUGACAUCCUUUCAGGUCACUGUAGCUGUAGAUCUCGUACAGAAUGGAAUAUCACCAAGCAACUAUAAUGCUUUUAAAUGAUGGUUACAUUUGAAUAAAACAAUCUCUAGAUCCACUAAGUAUGCAAAA